GGUGAAACACCUGUUCUCGUACGAUCGCCAAAGUUAAGCAACAUGGAUCCUGGUCAGUACCUAAAUGGGUGACCGCUUGAAAAUACCAGGUGCUGUAAG
Molecule: non-coding RNA, 99 nt
Organism: Acanthosepion pharaonis
Lineage: Eukaryota; Metazoa; Mollusca; Cephalopoda; Sepiida; Sepiidae
Source: the annotation of a GenBank genome assembly